Molecule: ribosomal RNA, 501 nt
Filed under: Halomonas sp.
Lineage: Bacteria; Pseudomonadati; Pseudomonadota; Gammaproteobacteria; Oceanospirillales; Halomonadaceae
Description: bacterial SSU rRNA
Rfam family: Bacterial small subunit ribosomal RNA
Source: RNAcentral
UAAUUUUUGGGAGGGACUACCUGCAGUCGAGCGGAAACGAUCCUAGCUUGCUAGGAGGCGUCGAGCGGCGGACGGGUGAGUAAUGCAUAGGAAUCUGCCCGGUAGUGGGGGAUAACGUGGGGAAACUCACGCUAAUACCGCAUACGCCCUACGGGGGAAAGCAGGGGAUCUUCGGACCUUGCGCUAUCGGAUGAGCCUAUGUCGGAUUAGCUUGUUGGUGAGGUAAUGGCUCACCAAGGCGACGAUCCGUAGCUGGUCUGAGAGGAUGAUCAGCCACACUGGGACUGAGACACGGCCCAGACUCCUACGGGAGGCAGCAGUGGGGAAUAUUGGACAAUGGGGGAAACCCUGAUCCAGCCAUGCCGCGUGUGUGAAGAAGGCUUUCGGGUUGUAAAGCACUUUCAGCGAGGAAGAAGGCCUGACGGUUAAUACCUGUCAGGAAGGACAUCACUCGCAGAAGAAGCACCGGCUAACUCCGUGCCGCGCCCGGCGGUAAAAGGG